UGAACGCUGGCGGCGUGCCUAAUACAUGCAAAUCGAGCGAACGGACGCGAAGCUUGCUUUUCUGAUGUUAGCGGCGGACGGGUGAGUAACACGUGGAUAACCUACCUAUAAGACUGGGAUAACUUCGGGAAACCGGAGCUAAUACCGGAUAAUAUUUUGAACCGCAUGGUUCAAAAGUGAAAGACGGUCUUGCUGUCACUUAUAGAUGGAUCCGCGCUGCAUUAGCUAGUUGGUAAGGUAACGGCUUACCAAGGCAACGAUGCAUAGCCGACCUGAGAGGGUGAUCGGCCACACUGGAACUGAGACACGGUCCAGACUCCUACGGGAGGCAGCAGUAGGGAAUCUUCCGCAAUGGGCGAAAGCCUGACGGAGCAACGCCGCGUGAGUGAUGAAGGUCUUCGGAUCGUAAAACUCUGUUAUUAGGGAAGAACAUAUGUGUAAGUAACUGUGCACAUCUUGACGGUACCUAAUCAGAAAGCCACGGCUAACUACGUG
RNAcentral lists this ribosomal RNA (495 nucleotides) under uncultured bacterium. RNAcentral's name for it is "partial 16S ribosomal RNA". It matches the Rfam family "Bacterial small subunit ribosomal RNA", at positions 30 to 507 of the family's 1533-position model. The record is from RNAcentral.